This 375-nucleotide ribosomal RNA is filed under the name uncultured bacterium. RNAcentral describes it as "bacterial SSU rRNA". It matches the Rfam family "Bacterial small subunit ribosomal RNA", at positions 790 to 1167 of the family's 1533-position model. The record is from RNAcentral.
GUAGUCCACGCCGUAAACGAUGAUUACUAGGUGUGGGGGGAUUGAACCCUUCCGUGCCGGAGUUAACACAAUAAGUAAUCCACCUGGGGAGUACGACCGCAAGGUUGAAACUCAAAGGAAUUGACGGGGGCCCGCACAAGCAGUGGAGUAUGUGGUUUAAUUCGAAGCAACGCGAAGAACCUUACCAGGUCUUGACAUCGAUUGAAAGGCUAAGAGAUUAGCCCCUCUCUUCGGAGACAAGAAGACAGGUGGUGCAUGGUUGUCGUCAGCUCGUGUCGUGAGAUGUUGGGUUAAGUCCCGCAACGAGCGCAACCCCUAUUAUUAGUUGCUACAUUUAGUUGAGCACUCUAAUGAGACUGCCGUUGACAAAACGGA